Molecule: ribosomal RNA, 360 nt
Filed under: uncultured bacterium
Lineage: Bacteria
Description: bacterial SSU rRNA
Rfam family: Bacterial small subunit ribosomal RNA
Source: RNAcentral
AUUGAACGCUGGCGGCAUGCCUUACACAUGCAAGUCGAACGGCAGCACGGGAGCAAUCCUGGUGGCGAGUGGCGGACGGGUGAGUAAUAUAUCGGAACGUGCCCAGUCGUGGGGAUAACGUAGCGAAAGCUACGCUAAUACCGCAUACGAUCUAUGGAUGAAAGCGGGGGAUCGCAAGACCUCGCGCGAUUGGAGCGGCCGAUAUCAGAUUAGGUAGUUGGUGAGGUAAAGGCUCACCAAGCCGACGAUCUGUAGCUGGUCUGAGAGGACGACCAGCCACACUGGGACUGAGACACGGCCCAGACUCCUACGGGAGGCAGCAGUGGGGAAUUUUGGACAAUGGGCGCAAGCCUGAUCCGA